This 535-nucleotide long non-coding RNA is filed under the name Pan paniscus (pygmy chimpanzee). RNAcentral describes it as "lncRNA (ENSPPAG00000044380.1)". Lineage: Eukaryota; Metazoa; Chordata; Mammalia; Primates; Hominidae. The record is from RNAcentral.
AUUUAACUUUAUUUUACAUUUUGUUUUCAUUCUAGAAUCCAGGCUGACUGAUAAGCCCCUUACAUAGACACACUGUCCUUGAGAAAAAGCGAAAAGAAAAGAUGAAAAGCCUAGCAGUGACAUCUAAAGCUUCUGCAGUAAACUUAACUUCAUAUUUUACUGGAAUACUUGACACCUGUAGGGAGGAACACUGCAAAUCACAUGGCACAGGAUAUAGAAUUGCUGGAGUAGGUUGCUGAAAUGGGCGGUAUAUAUACACCCUUGGACCCUUGCCCUGAGAGGAGAGGAAUGACAGCCAAGAACUCAGGCUGCUGAAGUGGCUUACUUUCCUGGCUCCCUAUGAUGCUUCCUGGGCAAGAACCACUAGAGACAGAAGCUGACACUCAGGAAGCAGCAAUGGGAAUAUUUUGACUAGGUCGUGAGAUGUGUCCAGGAGGGGAGAAGGAAACCUUUCAUGUAUAUAGGUAACUGGGUAGCUCAGAAGACAGUUCGAAACGCAGUUACAGAUGCCCUGAAAGUCAGAAGAGUGGGAUAC